GUUCGAGUCUCAGUCCACGAAGACCUCCUGCAGCCACUGAUUUCUUCCUAGGACGUGAAGACCUUACCCAGCUACGUCGUCAACCUCGGGAGACAGGAAGUGGAACCGUUAAUUCCGAUGAAUGCAAAUGAGCAGAACUUUUAAAGAAGAAUUUAAAGUAAAAUUACGUCAAAAUGUAGCUGCUUUGACUUCUUCGUCUCAGAUCCGAGCAUAGACUUCCCCUUUGUGCUAUUUGAAGGGACUUAGGAUAAAUUUGAAAAGCCUGAACUAAAGAAAUGGUUGGGGAGACUCCGUCUCAAAAAAAAAAAAAAAAAGAAAGAAAGAAAGAAAAGGAAUGGUUGGUUUUAUACUAGAAGAGGAAGUGUGGUUUACAUGAGAGAUUUCAGAAUCAAAUGUACUUGAUUCUUCAAGACAAUCUUCCUGUUAUCUGGAGAGAAAAACGUGUUUCAGGACGGCAUGGAAACAGAUAAAAGUACACAGAGAAUUACUUGCCUUAUCUUGAAGGAUGAAUAAUUAACACAUUUCCUUAAAACAGUCUAAACAAAUGCCAAAGGGGGUUUGUUUUUCGUAGGAAAAGCUUGAUUUCACUAUUGUAAUCUAGCAACACUGAACUUUCAAAAUGAUUUUUGUAGUUUCCUAUGCUACAUAAAGCGAAAACAUGGAAUAAUGAAGAGCAAAAUGUCUUUUCAUUCCCAACUGUGACAGAAAACAAAUAGCAAGAUAACAAACUUAAUUGUAUCAAUGAUCACAUUAAGUGUAACUGGUCUAACACCUUAACUUAAGAAGGUUGUCAGGUUGGAUUUUUUUUUAAAAGUCAGACCCAAAUACAUGCUACCUACAGGUAAUACUUAAAAUAUUAAAGCACUAAUAGGUUAAGAGUAAAAGGAUGGAAAAAUAUAUACUAUCCUAACACUAGUCAAAAGAAAGCUGGAGUGGCUAUAUUAAAAACAAAAUGACUUCACCAAAAAGACUAUAUCAGGGAUAAAGAAAGUUACGUCAUAAUAAUGAUGAAGGAUACAGUUCAUCCAGUGGAAAGAACAAACCUAAAUUCUGCUCUUAAUACAGCUUCUAAGUAUGUGAGUAAAAACCUGUUAGAUCAAUAAAGUAACAGACAAAUCCACAAUUAUAAUCAGAUAUUUCAACAUAUCUCUCUUGGUAACUGAUAGAACUAACGCAGAAAAGCAACAGGAUAGAGAUUAUCUAAACAACAUAUCAACCUGCUUGAUCUCAUUUAUACUUCUGGAACACUCUCUCAAAGACAGUAAAAUUCAUCUUAGGUGGACAGGGGACACUUACCAGCAUAUACCAUAUUCUGGGCCAUAAAACAAGUCUCAAUAAAUGAGUAAAUGGACUCAAGUCAUACAAAGCAUGUUUUUGACAAAAAUGGAAUUAAAUUAGAAAUCAAUAACAGCUCACUAUAUAAUAUAUUGUCCAAAGGAGUAAAAAUUUGAAAAUGUACAAAUACUAUGAUAAUUGAAAUUAUAUAAUGUUUGAAAAUUUCCUUUAUGAGUCAUAAUUUUCUGUUAUAUCCUAAAGGGUAAACAAUAACAUAUUUGCAUUAAAACAAAAUAAUGUUUUUGUAGUAAGGAAAAAAUUUUAAGCUAUCUAUAUUGACUAUACAUUAAAGAGCAGAAUAAUUACUUUUGGUAUAUAUUCCAAUGCUUUAAUCAGUUUCUUAGCCAGUAUCACCAUAUUUUUAAGGAUUUUUUUUGACACAGUCUAUUAUUUUUAAAUUUUGAUAAAAUUGUAUGUAAUCUUCAAUGCUGGACUUUAUGGUUAAGAAACUUGAAAUUAUAGCUACCUUCAAAUGGCACUUCUCUGAACACCAUACCUUUUAAAUUGAGAUUUAUACUCUGCAUAUACUAAGGUAAUCAGAAGUCUUAGAAUAUAUCCAAUGAAAUGGAAAAUAUCCUCAUGAGUAUUGUGAAUAUGGAAUAUUAGAUUGCAAAUAUUUUAGCAGUUGAUGUAUUUUGCCUUCACAGUACAUCUCUAUUUUUUUUUUUUUGCCACUUAGUCUAGGAAGGGUACAUUUAUUUAAAAAUUAUUCCUAAAGCCAAACAAGUUGGCUCAAUUUAUGAUACCUUUGAAUGUUAAGCCAAAUUUAGGUGUUACAGAAACAUAAACCUUCUCAGUUGCAUUCCAUUCUAACACAAAUUGUAAAUGUAUCCAGUUAAAAAUGGGAGCACCAUCAAAAGACUACUGCCAUAGCUGAAGAAAUUCCUAUGCAAAAUUGAAGAAUUUCAAAAUUAAAUCCUGUAUAUAAUAUGUUAGUUCAUGACUUUAUUCAUUCAGUUUCUUCCUUAAUUUGUAGGACUAAAUCCCAUUGUCUUUAUGUUGGCAAGUUCUGAUAACUGAAAUUCUGUUGAAUUUUUUUUUUUUUCUUUGAGACGGAGUCUCA
Molecule: long non-coding RNA, 2398 nt
Organism: Symphalangus syndactylus (siamang)
Lineage: Eukaryota; Metazoa; Chordata; Mammalia; Primates; Hylobatidae
Source: RefSeq, a predicted model, not a curated record